Vicia villosa (hairy vetch) is the source of this 830-nucleotide long non-coding RNA. RefSeq lists it as uncharacterized. The record is from RefSeq and is a predicted model, not a curated record. The transcript has 3 exons. NCBI's taxonomy places the organism in Eukaryota, Viridiplantae, Streptophyta, Magnoliopsida, Fabales, Fabaceae.
UUUGUUAAAGUUUGGUUUGCUCUUUUGUCUUAAAGUUUGGUUUGCUCAUUUGUCUUAAAGUUUGGUUUGCCCUUUUGUCUUAAAGUUUGGUUUGCUCGUGUCAAACGAGGUUUCAAAGUGUAUUUUGUAUUUUGUAUUUUGUGGUACUUACGAUGAUUUCUCUUGUGCAAAACCAUAGAGCCUGAUGUCUCAUAAUGAGAAAUGUGAUUUUGGAGAAUUUUUGGUUUAUUUUGAAGAAAAUGUAUUGAAGAAUAAAAAAUUUACAAUCUCAAUAUGGGUAAUGGGUUCAAUGUCACCGAAAUUUCAUCUAUCUUAUUGAUGAAUUGUGUUUUUUAAAUCUAAAUAUUAAAAUCCUAUGGUUGGAGGAAUUUUAUUUUUGAUAGAAUUUACUUGGUGAAAAGGACAUGCAUCAAAGUGAAUAGAGGAUCAGUUGCUGUGAGUAUCGAUGGAGUGUGUUAAUUUUCUUAUACCCAAAUACAGGUGAUUCCUUGUGCUGUGCUGUCUUUGUUCGUUCAUCCCACAACCCAGCAUCAUACUAUUAACCAGAUUUUCUGGGCUUUUUGUGUUUAUCUUGAAGCUGUAUCAGUUCUACCUCAAUUGCGAGUCAUGCAGAACACAAAGAUUGUUGAACCAUUCACAGCACACUAUGUUUUUGCCCUUGGAAUUGCAAGGUUCUUGAGUUGUGCACAUUGGGUCCUCCAGGGUUUUGGAAAUGUAGGUUCUUGGGCUGCACAAUUGAUUGAUGAGAAACCUGCUGUUGGGUUACUUCUCUAUAUGAAGUGAUCCAGUCGUCGUCAUCAAUAUCAGUUUUUGCCUGUUGUGAAUGAGGU